RNAcentral lists this ribosomal RNA (630 nucleotides) under Hypomyces chrysospermus. RNAcentral describes it as "eukaryotic LSU rRNA". It matches the Rfam family "Eukaryotic large subunit ribosomal RNA", at positions 1 to 653 of the family's 3401-position model. RNAcentral also lists the same sequence under 1 other name. Lineage: Eukaryota; Fungi; Ascomycota; Sordariomycetes; Hypocreales; Hypocreaceae. The record is from RNAcentral.
UUGACCUCGGAUCAGGUAGGAAUACCCGCUGAACUUAAGCAUAUCAAUAAGCGGAGGAAAAGAAACCAACAGGGAUUGCCCCAGUAACGGCGAGUGAAGCGGCAACAGCUCAAAUUUGAAAUCUGGCCCCUAGGGCCCGAGUUGUAAUUUGCAGAGGAUGCUUUUGGUGAGGCGCCGCCUGAGUGCCCUGGAACGGGCUGCCAUAGAGGGUGAGAGCCCCGUCUGGCUGGCUGCCGAGCCUCUUUAAAGCUCCUUCGACGAGUCGAGUAGUUUGGGAAUGCUGCUCUAAAUGGGAGGUAUAUGUCUUCUAAAGCUAAAUAUUGGCCAGAGACCGAUAGCGCACAAGUAGAGUGAUCGAAAGAUGAAAAGCACUUUGAAAAGAGGGUUAAAUAGUACGUGAAAUUGUUGAAAGGGAAGCGCUCAUGACCAGACUUGGGCCUGGCGAAUCAUCCGGCGUUCUCGCCGGUGCACUUUGCCAGGUCCAGGCCAGCAUCAGUUCGCCGCGGGGGAUAAAGGCUUCGGGAACGUGGCUCCUCCGGGAGUGUUAUAGCCCGUUGCGUAAUACCCUGCGGUGGACUGAGGUCCGCGCAUCUGCAAGGAUGCUGGCGUAAUGGUCAUCAGCGACCCGUC